CUACGGGAGGCAGCAGUAGGGAAUAUUGGUCAAUGGACGAGAGUCUGAACCAGCCAUGCCGCGUGCAGGAAGACGGCCUUCUGGGUUGUAAACUGCUUUUGACAGGGAAGAAAACGGCUAUGCGUAGCUAACUGACGGUACCUGUAGAAUAAGCACCGGCUAACUCCGUGCCAGCAGCCGCGGUAAUA
Molecule: ribosomal RNA, 188 nt
Filed under: CFB group bacterium KbC5-B2
Lineage: Bacteria; Pseudomonadati; Bacteroidota
Description: partial 16S ribosomal RNA
Rfam family: Bacterial small subunit ribosomal RNA
Source: RNAcentral